GCUAGAAAAGCCUGUGGGACACAUGAGUUUUUGUUGGGUGUUUCUGCCUAUCCUGAAACUAUCAGCAGUGACUUGGUUUGUUUCCAGGUGGGAUCUUUUAUAAUGCUGCUGUGCACUACGUGGACAUCGUCAGUCUCUUGUUGGGAGAGAGCGUUCCAGACACAGUCUUUUCUUUGGGUCAUGCGUUCUGCUCAGAUGUGGCCUCUUUGAAAGAUGCAGACAGUGUCAUGAUCAGCAUGGAGUUUCCUAGUGGGGCCAUUGUGAGUCUGUAUAUCAGUCAACACUGCACCAGAAGCUGUGACCUGAGAGCGGAGUGUUUCCCCCAGGUUCAUGGUUCUCAAGGCACUUUACGGAUCAAUAAUCAGAAUCCCUUGGGGAUUACUGAGCAAGGCACCUCCGUGUCCAUAUACUCAGACACACAUGCCGAUCGAUGCCAAGAAGCAUACAGAGGACUCUUUCGACACUUUCUCAGAACCCUUAAAGGAAAAGAACCCCCAACUGUCCCCAAAGAACAGUUUCUCUGGACCCUUCAGGUGGCUGCAGCAGCUGAGCAGUCCUGGCGGAAUGGAUCAUCUGUCGACCUAAGCAAUGAAGGACAAGAUCCAAAUGCAGUAUCGGUUAUCAAGAUGGAAAUGCUGUGAAGAGGGAACUACUUACUGAAGAAGACAACCUUUUACCUAUUUACAUUUUCAUUAAUUUAAAAAAAUUAAUUGCAGUUUUUCGUGACUUUAUUUUCACUGGAAACCAUGAGCUGGGACCUUUGGGGAAAUGUGUGUAUAUGGUAAUGGUGUAGCAAGUAAUUUUCUUAGGAUGUUAUGUUAGGCCCAGAAAUGAAGCUUGGAGGGCGUCAUUCUGUCAGUGUGUAUUUUUCCUUGUGUUCGAAGGAGGCAUUUAGGUGAGAAAGGCUGACAUUUUGUUUUUAAAGAACCCGUCAACACAUAUGCAUCAUCCAUCCAGCCAUUUACCUUCCACCCUGUGGCAACAAAACAUGCUUCUAUGAAAAUAGGUUUGUUGCCCCUGUGUGGCUAUGUGGUCUGUUUCAGGGGUGAGGGCGGGGAGGAAGGACGGAGGGACGCUCCUUUCUCUUUUGAGAGAGGGUGGGACAAACAGUCCAAGAUCCCUAUCAGACAGUCAAGUGUAGAUGAGAUUGUGUGUCAGUGUUACAAAAAAAGAUAGUGCCUUCCGAAAUGGGACACUCUGCUUUAAACCAAGUUUUGGGUUGUCUUUUUUAUUCUUACAUCAGACUUACUGCAGAUGCUUUAUGUAUUUGAAGAUUCUCGUCUGUAAUUUCUCAUAUCCUACUUUUUCAAAUAAAAGUAAGUUUUCU
RNAcentral lists this long non-coding RNA (1327 nucleotides) under Phascolarctos cinereus (koala). Its description in RNAcentral is "lncRNA (ENSPCIG00000036689.1)". The record is from RNAcentral. Lineage: Eukaryota; Metazoa; Chordata; Mammalia; Diprotodontia; Phascolarctidae.